RNAcentral lists this ribosomal RNA (253 nucleotides) under uncultured bacterium. Its description in RNAcentral is "partial 16S ribosomal RNA". It matches the Rfam family "Bacterial small subunit ribosomal RNA", at positions 524 to 776 of the family's 1533-position model. The record is from RNAcentral.
UACGGAGGGUGCAAGCGUUAAUCGGAAUUACUGGGCGUAAAGCGCACGCAGGCGGUUUGUUAAGUCAGAUGUGAAAUCCCCGAGCUUAACUUGGGAACUGCAUUUGAAACUGGCAAGCUAGAGUCUUGUAGAGGGGGGUAGAAUUCCAGGUGUAGCGGUGAAAUGCGUAGAGAUCUGGUGGAAUACCGGUGGCGAAGGCGGCCCCCUGGACAAAGACUGACGCUCAGGUGCGAAAGAGUGGGGAGCAAACAGG